AGUGAACGCUGGCGGUAGGCCUAACACAUGCAAGUCGAACGGCAGCACAGUAAGAGCUUGCUCUUACGGGUGGCGAGUGGCGGACGGGUGAGGAAUACAUCGGAAUCUACUUUUUCGUGGGGGAUAACGUAGGGAAACUUACGCUAAUACCGCAUACGACCUACGGGUGAAAGCAGGGGAUCUUCGGACCUUGCGCGAUUGAAUGAGCCGAUGUCGGAUUAGCUAGUUGGCGGGGUAAAGGCCCACCAAGGCGACGAUCCGUAGCUGGUCUGAGAGGAUGAUCAGCCACACUGGAACUGAGACACAGUCCAGACUCCUACGGGAGGCAGCAGUGGGGAAUAUUGGACAAUGGGCGCAAGCCUGAUCCAGCCAUACCGCGUGGGUGAAGAAGGCCUUCGAGUUGUAAAGCCCUUUUGUUGGGAAAGAAAAGCAGCAGGUUAAUACCCCGCUGUUCUGACGGUACCCAAAGAAUAAGCACCGGCUAACUUCGUG
This 492-nucleotide ribosomal RNA is filed under the name uncultured bacterium. RNAcentral describes it as "partial 16S ribosomal RNA". It matches the Rfam family "Bacterial small subunit ribosomal RNA", at positions 29 to 507 of the family's 1533-position model. The record is from RNAcentral.